AGAGUGAACGCUGGCGGCAGGCCUAACACAUGCAAGUCGAACGGACCCUUCGGGGUUAGUGGCGGACGGGUGAGUAACACGUGGGAACGUGCCUUUAGGUUCGGAAUAGCUCCUGGAAACGGGUGGUAAUGCCGAAUGUGCCCUUCGGGGGAAAGAUUUAUCGCCUUUAGAGCGGCCCGCGUCUGAUUAGCUUGUUGGUGAGGUAAUGGCUCACCAAGGCUACGAUCAGUAGCUGGUCUGAGAGGAUGACCAGCCACAUUGGGACUGAGACACGGCCCAAACUCCUACGGGAGGCAGCAGUGUGGAAUCUUGCGCAAUGGGCGAAAGCCUGACGCAGCCAUGCCGCGUGUAUGAUGAAGGUCUUAGGAUUGUAAAAUACUUUCAACCGGUGAAGAUAAAUGACUGUAGCGGAGAAGAAGCCCGGAUAACUUCGUGCCAGCAGCCG
RNAcentral lists this ribosomal RNA (445 nucleotides) under uncultured soil bacterium. RNAcentral's name for it is "bacterial SSU rRNA". It matches the Rfam family "Bacterial small subunit ribosomal RNA", at positions 26 to 517 of the family's 1533-position model. The record is from RNAcentral.